AAAAAAAAUAAAAAGAAGAUAGUAAUCAACAGAAAUUAAAUCCAGAAGACAGCAAUCAAAAACCAACAAUUAACCUAGAAAAAACAACAUGCAACAGUCAACAUAAUUAAAUCCAAAAAACCAACAAUUAACUCCCAAAAAUAAAACUAAAGCAGUGUAUGGAUUGAGGCUUACAACUCAGAAAUUCAGUAACUCAAAAUAAGCAGAAAUUAAUAGACUCAGAAUCAGAAAUAAAAAAAACCAAAUAAAAGUGACUCCGGCAUAGAGGGGAUCGAAGACAGAGGCUUGAUGUGCGCGAGAGAGAGAAAGAUCGACGAUGAGGAUAGAGACACGAUUUUAGGGUGGCCGACGACGACGAGGACAGAGGCGGCGACGCUAACAGCAGCUCCGAGCAUACCUGGCGAUGCGAGGUGAAGGGAUCUAGGAGAAGAGGAUAGCGACGGCGGGGCUUGACGCUGGCUAAGGAGAAGAGUUCGUCUGUGACGGCGGCGUUGGCCGUUGGCUGCUGCUGCUGGCUGUUUGGGAGAGAGAGAGAGAGGCUGCUAGGGUUUCUUCUGUGCGAGAAAAGAGAGAGAGCGAGAGGCUGGGUAGGU
RNAcentral lists this long non-coding RNA (593 nucleotides) under Arachis ipaensis. RNAcentral describes it as "long non-coding RNA (AIPA_LNC001734)". Lineage: Eukaryota; Viridiplantae; Streptophyta; Magnoliopsida; Fabales; Fabaceae. The record is from RNAcentral.